This 423-nucleotide ribosomal RNA is filed under the name uncultured bacterium. RNAcentral's name for it is "bacterial SSU rRNA". It matches the Rfam family "Bacterial small subunit ribosomal RNA", at positions 355 to 776 of the family's 1533-position model. The record is from RNAcentral.
UAGGGAAUAUUGGUCAAUGGAUGGAAGUCUGAACCAGCCAUGCCGCGUGCAGGAAGACGGCCUUCUGGGUUGUAAACUGCUUUUGCCAGGGGAUAAAAGGCCCAUGCGUGGGACAUUGAAGGUACCUGGUGAAUAAGCCACGGCUAACUACGUGCCAGCAGCCGCGGUAAUACGUAGGUGGCGAGCGUUGUCCGGAUUUAUUGGGUUUAAAGGGUGCGUAGGCGUCCCUGCAAGUUUUAGGUGAAAUGCCCAAGCUCAACUUGGGAGCUGCCUGAAAAACUGCCGGGAUUGAGUACAGAUGAGGUAGGCGGAAUUGACGGUGUAGCGGUGAAAUGCAUAGAUAUCGUCAAGAACACCGAUAGCGAAGGCAGCUUACUAGGCUGUAACUGACGCUGAUGCACGAAAGUGUGGGGAUCAAACAGG